AACAAGUUUCCAAUCUGAGCUAUUAACUCAAGAGAAAGUCAAUUAAAAGAACGUUUACCAAGUGUUUUGAUUGGGUUUGUUCAUGCUACUCACCACCAACCGUUUAUGGCGCUGCGCACAGUACAACUGUAGCUAUGUACAGCGGUAAAAGAAGUCGAUACAGGUACAGCGAUUGUACCGAGUUGCUUGCAUGGUUCUAGCGCUGUACAUGGUGACAGACAUACAAUUUUCGAAGUACAACGGUAGUACAGCUGGCAGAGCACUAUCAGUAUCAUUCGUGGUGUCUAGGAUACUGUGCGACAUCUUGUGUUAAAAUCCAUGUUUGUGAGGAAAUUUACUCUAUCAGACUAAAUUCCUCUGACCACCAAACGAUGACAAUCGAGGGAACCAUCACUUGGUAAUGUGGAGAAGCAUCCAACUCACUUUCUUCUUCGAGGAAGACAUUCGAAGAAAAACAAAUCAUUUGCAAUAUGGAACCACAAUGGCUCGAGAUAAGGCGAACAAAGCAGAAACAAACCGGAAAACGAAAACUGUCCGAAAAAAAACAUGACAAAUUCGAUGCAGCACACCGCUCACACAUCGCUCCGAAGGCACUUAAAACUCAUACCUCUCACAGAGGCCGCCUCUACCGCUGCAGAGAACUGUCAACUUCCCCGGCCUGAUUGCAAACAAAUGCAUUACGGUUGGUUUAGACCAGCAAUUCAUUCAUGUGAAGAAACAUGAUGAGAUCCACAGAAAUCGCAUCAUCCGUCCACACCAGCGCGAAUCUAUACAAUGAAUUAGAGAUGGGCAAACCGUUCACGAACGGUACGAAAGAACUAGUUCGCUGAAAAGAGUGAACGAGCGGUCGUUCUUUUUCAAAGAACGGUAGGUCUCCCCACGAACUGAUUGCGAGAGAACGGUUUGUGAACGAACGGAACGAACUGAUUCCGUAAGAAUGGUUUGCGAGUGAACUGAUUCCGUAAGAUCGGUUUGCGAGUGAACUGUUGGAGAAUGAACUGUUUGUGAACGAACUGUUUGCGAGUGAACUGUAUGGCAAAGAACUGAUUGAGAGUGAACUGUUUGGGAACGAACUGUUUGAGAACGAAGUGUUUGCGGCCGAACUGUUUGCGAACAAACUAGUGCAGCUGAACUGAUUUGCGCUGGACGGAAUGGAUAAAUAUAACGAGAACGCUUGUAAGGAAAAUAAAACGAUUUGUCAUUUAUGAGCAAAAUGC
Molecule: long non-coding RNA, 1217 nt
Organism: Toxorhynchites rutilus septentrionalis
Lineage: Eukaryota; Metazoa; Arthropoda; Insecta; Diptera; Culicidae
Exons: 3
Source: RefSeq, a predicted model, not a curated record